CCUACGGGCGACAGCAGUGAGGAAUAUUGGUCAAUGGGCGCGAGCCUGAACCAGCCAAGUCGCGUGAGGGAGGACGGCCCUACGGGUUGUAAACCUCUUUUGCCGGGGAGCAACGGGCGCCACGUGUGGCGUCACUGAGAGUACCCGGAGAAAAGGCAUCGGCUAACUCCGUGCCAGCAGCCGCGGUAAUACGGAGGAUGCGAGCGUUAUCCGGAUUUAUUGGGUUAAAGGGGUGCGUAGGCGGAUCGUUAAGUCGUUGGUCAAAUUGAGGGGCUCAACCCCUUCCCGCCAUUGAAACUGGCGUUCUUGAGUGGAAGAGAGGUAUGCGGAAUGCGUGGUGUAGCGGUGAAAUGCAUAGAUAUCACGCAGAACCCCGAUUGCGAAGGCAGCAUGCCGGCUUCCGACUGACGCUGAAGCACGAAAGCGUGGGGAUCGAACAGGAUUAGAUACCCGGGUAGUC
This 460-nucleotide ribosomal RNA is filed under the name uncultured bacterium. RNAcentral describes it as "partial 16S ribosomal RNA". It matches the Rfam family "Bacterial small subunit ribosomal RNA", at positions 338 to 795 of the family's 1533-position model. The record is from RNAcentral.